RNAcentral lists this transfer RNA (85 nucleotides) under Acidimicrobiales bacterium. RNAcentral's name for it is "tRNA-Ser". It matches the Rfam family "tRNA". From Rfam's summary of the family: Transfer RNA (tRNA) molecules are approximately 80 nucleotides in length. Their secondary structure includes four short double-helical elements and three loops (D, anti-codon, and T loops). Lineage: Bacteria; Bacillati; Actinomycetota; Acidimicrobiia; Acidimicrobiales. RNAcentral also lists the same sequence under 1 other name. The record is from RNAcentral.
GGAGAGGUGCGAGAGCGGCCGAAUCGGCCUCACUGCUAAUGAGGUGACCUUCACGGGUCCGAGGGUUCAAAUCCCUCCCUCUCCG